This is a non-coding RNA of Cinara cedri, 957 nucleotides long. Lineage: Eukaryota; Metazoa; Arthropoda; Insecta; Hemiptera; Aphididae. The record is from the annotation of a GenBank genome assembly.
UCUAUACGUUUACUCGAUCGUUUUGUAAAAUAUCAUAAAGCGUUUGGUGCUCGAGGAUGUUUUUUUUUUUUUUUUUUUUUUUGUCUUUCUUGAAAAUUGUUAAAAUUUGUACAUUGCCAACUAUCGAAAACGCGCACAAUAGUUCCUUGUACUUUACCCGAUAAUAUGGGAAAAGCGAAUAAAAACGUCGGGUGAACGGAAUUGUCCACGCGGUACGUUGGUUUUCGUAAAAAUCGAUAAUAUUUAUUUUGUUGUAAUUCAUCGAGGCAAUAAUUAAUCGUAUAAUACACGGAUCUGGAAUUUUUACCGAGCACAGUUUACAGCAUUAUCUGUAGAUGAAUGAUAACGACGAACAUAUUUAAGCUCUUAUUGUUAAUGUAUUUUCCAUUUUACGUCGACAAAUUAUGUUUUUUUUUUUUUGCGUUCAGUAUAUUAUUAAAUUAAAUGGAUAUAUAUAAAAUAUUUGUAUUUCUCCUACACUUUAACAUUUCGAACGGAGGCUAUUACAGUAAUAAAUUAUUGCGCGCGUGUUUGUUUUGCACUAUAGUAUUAAAACGUGCAUUUCGUUUUCGAAGACUAUUCGACCCGGACAACGUUUUACGACACAUUUACCGUGUUGUCCUUUUAAAACGGUUUGAGCGCACACAUUACGGAACGUCUAUUGUACGUGAAAACACAACGUACAAAGUCAAAUCGUUUUUAAUAAUAGUCGCCGAACCUGCAGACCGAAAACGACACUGGGAAAUUGUUUAGAUAACGGGGUGGUAAGUGUUCUGUGCAAGUAAAAUACUAAUACGGAUUAUAGGUACACUGAGUAAUUUUUAUUUCACUGUCUCAACGACGUCACGGGUACGCAGGCGAUCGGUUCCCGCGGUAUACUUACGUAUCGAAUUUGCGACGAAGUAACCUGUUGUGGGUAUUAGAAACCACAAUGAAUUCACGAACGGACGUUAUCCU